UACGCACUUCGGUGCAAUGUACGAGUGGCGAACGGGUGAGUAACACGUGAGAAACCUGCCUCGGAGACCGGGACAACCAUUGGAAACGAUGGCUAAUACCGGAUGUCCUCAUUUGAUCGCAUGAUCUUUUGAGGAAAUGAUCCGUCGCUCCGGGAGGGUCUCGCGGCCUAUCAGCUUGUUGGUGAGGUAAUGGCUCACCAAGGCAUCAACGGGUAGCUGGUCUGAGAGGACGAUCAGCCACACUGGGACUGAGACACGGCCCAGACUCCUACGGGAGGCAGCAGUAGGGAAUCUUGCACAAUGGGCGAAAGCCUGAUGCAGCGACGCCGCGUGGGGGAUGAAGGCCUUCGGGUUGUAAACCCCUUUCAGUAGGGACGAAAAUGACGGUACCUACAGAAGAAGCUCCGGCCAACUACGUGCCAGCAGCCGCGGUAACACGUAGGGAGCAAGCGUUGUCCGGAUUUAUUGGGCGUAAAGAGCUCGUAGGUGGUUCGGUAAGUCGGAUGUGAAAACUCAAGGCUCAACCUUGAGACGC
This 535-nucleotide ribosomal RNA is filed under the name uncultured Actinomycetes bacterium. RNAcentral's name for it is "bacterial SSU rRNA". It matches the Rfam family "Bacterial small subunit ribosomal RNA", at positions 72 to 624 of the family's 1533-position model. Lineage: Bacteria; Bacillati; Actinomycetota; Actinomycetes. The record is from RNAcentral.